This is a long non-coding RNA of Brassica rapa (field mustard), 3227 nucleotides long. RefSeq lists it as uncharacterized. The record is from RefSeq and is a predicted model, not a curated record. Lineage: Eukaryota; Viridiplantae; Streptophyta; Magnoliopsida; Brassicales; Brassicaceae.
UGAAAAUGGACUUUUGACAAUUUCUUUUAGGAAGGAGCAAGGAAGACAAUAAGACGACAGUAAACCAAAAUCGAGACUACUGUAUGUUUAGAUAAGCACUGGAUAUUGAAGAAGAAGCAUGAUAUGGAGGACUCUGGAAUGCAUGAAACCAUCUGUACUUUCUUACGGAUUUUGCUUUCUUUUUCCUCUCAUCUGUAGUCCAGAAGGUGUGGAGAGUUGAUGGGCGUGAAUCUGAUAAUGGUUGAUCAAAAGGUAACUAUUCUUACUGUUUACUUCGAUUUAACACCUUCUGGAUUAUCCUAUUUACAUGUCCUCUUACAUGGCCGCAGUCAACAAAGCAACAUAGCUUCUGUUCAGGCUCCGAGACACUGAAACCGCCGUCAUGUAUCCUAUGGCAUUCACAACCCUUCUGUAUUCAGAUCCAUGAUCAAUUUGAUGGGGUUAGUUCUUUCUUUUCUUUUGUGUGUAUUCACAUGCCGAUACUGAAGCUGGAUUUAAAUCCCUAGAUCAGAUUUUAAUUUCUAUGUUUAACUAAGAAAGUUCUGUUUGGAAAAUUUUUUGGAUGUGUUGGUGAGCGAGAUGUGGUCUCAUAGAUAUCCUGCGAUUUUUUAAAUCUUAUGCUUUUUUAAAUUUUCUGUCGCUAUUUAUUAGCUCUUAUACCAUUACAUAAAUUGUGUGAUGAUGUGUGUACGCCCAUGUGUUCUUGGUUACGUCUUUCAAGAUUUUCAAUGAUGAUUCGUGAAGAUUACAUGUUGACUUCCAAUAUUUUUUUUUUGAAUUGGUAAUUAUUGUGAAAACCUUUGGUGGAAACAUGAAAUUAUGAACUUUGUUGUGUUCUAUUAGCUAUUUCACUCACACUUUAUACCAUCCCAUAAAUGAUGAGAUGAUGUGUGUGUGUCUGCCCCUCUGUUCAUGAAGAUAGACAGUUCUGAUGUCAUGUAUUUGUUUUUAGGAUUGGUAACAUUUAGAUUGCUCUAAUUACUAUGAAAACCACUGAUGGGAACAUGAAAGUAUAAAUUUUUGUUGUGCUCUAUUAGCUCUUUGACUGUACUUUUCAGGUGCAAUACUUUUGUGCUCUCAGUGUGGAGAAGCAGAUACUCUUAUCGCUCAAAUCUACUAAAUUUUUUUCUACUAAACGUUAAAUAGUAUUUCCAGGUGGUGGUGAUGACGGUGGCAGAGGAGGGGUUGCAGUGGUGGUGCUCAUGAAGAGCAUAUCGGGCAUGGAGAAUCAGAAGAUGGCGAGGGACCGGAGAAGAUGUGGAAUGGUUCGUCGACCAGUGACAUGGAACGGAUGGAUCUGGGACUAUUCUAAUGAUCACCACUAUUCUAUUUAACUGGGAUUGUUUUCAUACGUAAGUUGUUGUUUAUCAUAGUUUUAAGAAUAUUUGUCUGUGUUUAAGAUUUAAGAUUACACUUUUUGGUUUUAACCUUAUCACAAACUCAGUCCAAAACAUGGAGAAUUCUUUUUUACCAAAUGAUACUCUUUCUUUUUUUACAAAAAAAUAUGCUUUGUUUUCUAUAAGUGCAGUCACUACAAUUUCAUUUUUGAGGUGUUUUACCUUUGUAAUAGUUUGCUACCACUCCAUUGAUGGUAAACAUAAUGCUCCGGAACGGCUAAGUACAGUCUAUGAUAAUACCAACAUAUUUUGCGAAGUAAUAUAUUUUCGUUUACUAUGGAAUAAUAUCAUAUACAAAAAGAGAAUAAGUCAAGAGAAAAUAACAUAAAAGUAUACAUUAAACUAGGGCUUAGAAAAAUAUCAAAAUCGGAAAAUCCAACUUAAUAUCGAAGAUAUAAAAUAUAAUAUUCAAAAUAGCUAAAAUACUCAAAAAAUACUUAGAGCUGUCAAAAAUGCCUGAAAGUAUUUAAAAACUGUCAAAAGUAAAUACUUAAAAUAUUAAAAAAAAAAGAAGACUCAAAACAAUAAAUAUUUAGUGGUUUUUCCACUCUAAUAUCAAACGAACCAAAUUUCAUGAUAAUUUUAUGUAUUUAGUUAUACAUAAUUAUAACAUAUAAGAAUAUUACUUUUAUUUUGGGAUUUGAAGAUUUUAAAAUAUAUUUGAGUUUCAAUAAAAUAAAAUAAAAUAAACGGGUAGCAACCGAACCCGAACCAAAACUAAUAAAUAUCCAAAUAAAACUUAAAUCUCUAUAUCUUAAAACCCAAAAUCUGAAUAGCCAUAAAAUUAAACUCGAUCUAAUAUGAUGUCCACUCAUGCAUUAAAUUACAAUUAAAAUAAACUAGAAGUAUAACUCACAUUGCUUAUCUGCUCUUAAAAAUAAUUCUACAACAGAAUUCUUAUAGUGACGACCAUUAAGAUAUCUCUAACAACAUUAUAAUUAAAAAAAAAAGAGCUUGAUUGUAAAAAAUAUGAAAACAAAUACGAACUAUAAUUUUUAAGCAAUAUAAAAACAAUUGUAAAAAAUGUAAAAAUAAUUACAAAAAUGUAUAAAUAACUCUAAAACUACAACAUAUUUUAUAAAAAAUGCGCACACCGACCCCUACCUUAAUAUACAAUUUAGUAAACACAGAUUACAAAUAGAUAUGCAAGACUUAUUAUAAACACUACAAGUAUUGAUCAUAACUAUAUAAAUGAUCUUUUAGAAAUAUGUAAAACUAAGAUAAAAUUAUACUUGAGUUGUACACAAAUUUUUUUAUAUAAUCAGAAGAGUUAAUCUUUUAAGCUAAAGAAUUAAAAUAUUAUCUUCAUAUCAAAUUUUCAAAGAAACCGGCUAAAUUUAAUAAGAUUAUUAAAAUAUUAAAAAUAAACUAUAGAAUAAACUAACAUAUAACUUCUACACACCAACAUUCUUGAAAACCUUAAAUUUUAUAAUACAUUUCUCUUGCAAAAAACCCAUAGACCAUGUUCUAAAAUAAGAUACAAUUCUAUAGCUUCAUACAUCACAUAUAAAUCAUACCCCCGCGCGUAGCGCGGAUCGGCCCUAGUUAUAAAUAUUCGGUCCUUACUAUUCACUAUGAAAAUUUAGGUUGGAGAUUCCUUCGGAUCACUGAACUUUCAUCAUAUGCUUUCCACUUUGCACGACCCUUUUGUCGUUAUCAUGAUUUUGCUUAAUAAAUUAAUUGCAAUCCUUUUCUAUAAACAAACAAAACUUAAAAUCAAUUGAAUUUAGACAGCUGAUCAAAAACAUAUACUAUUUAACAGUAGUGAUUAUUAUACUUUUGAUUAUUAAUUUACCAUAUGUUUUAAGUGAUUUAAAAAAAAUCAAAAUA